GGAGAGUUGGCCGAGUGGUUGAUGGCACCGGUCUUGAAAACCGGCAUCCCCGGAAGGGUAUCGGGGGUUCGAAUCCCUCACUCUCCGCCA
Molecule: transfer RNA, 90 nt
Filed under: Acidobacteriaceae bacterium
Lineage: Bacteria; Pseudomonadati; Acidobacteriota; Terriglobia; Terriglobales; Acidobacteriaceae
Description: tRNA-Ser
Rfam family: tRNA
About the family: Transfer RNA (tRNA) molecules are approximately 80 nucleotides in length. Their secondary structure includes four short double-helical elements and three loops (D, anti-codon, and T loops).
Source: RNAcentral